GAGGCCUUAGCUUAGUUAAAGUAUUUGAGUUGCAUUCAGAGGAUGUGGGUUAAAAUCUCACAGGCUUUA
RNAcentral lists this transfer RNA (69 nucleotides) under Arapaima gigas (arapaima). RNAcentral's name for it is "tRNA-Ala". It matches the Rfam family "tRNA". Rfam says of the family: Transfer RNA (tRNA) molecules are approximately 80 nucleotides in length. Their secondary structure includes four short double-helical elements and three loops (D, anti-codon, and T loops). The record is from RNAcentral. Lineage: Eukaryota; Metazoa; Chordata; Actinopteri; Osteoglossiformes; Osteoglossidae.